AAAAGUUUCGACGUUCAGUAGCGCUGAGUGUGUUUCUUCGUGCUCCGAGACAGUUACGCAGCUCCCAUCUCUUCCCUCUGCCAACCGGUAUUUGGUUUUCACACUUCAAAGCUAAAGCAAGCUGUGCUGCCUCAGUUGAAACCAGGCAGCCGGGCAACCCUGAAGCUAGCAAGACGGAGGCCUGCUCCUGCCAUUAGCGGAGAAAGACUGAGCCCUGCACCAGCCCCGCUGGCCCAUCCUUAACCAACAACUCCACGUGAGCGAGCCCUAGACUUUACGGAAGAGGAGACCACUGGCGUUCUUUGUGACCUUUCCCCUACAAGGCAUGUCCUCAGAUGUUUUGUGUCGCUGAGCCAUCAUGACUCAAUCAAAAUGAAAAAUGAACCUUGAGGGAGAGGAGCAGGGUGGGCCACUGGGCCACUGCCCUGUGACCUGCUUGGCUUGCAGCAGGGGACUGACACCUGCAUGUUCUCACUUGUCCAGGAAGCUGCAGUAGCUCCAACCCCAGCAAAUCCUGCCUCAUUGCCUGCUGGCUAUUUGUUCUGCCUGCUGGGAAGAGGAGGACCAGACCGUCUCUCCCUAAUGUGAAGACAUACUUGCUAGCUCGCGGCAUGAUCUUGUAUCAUCAAAGAGGGGAAGAGCUUAAUUCACAAGAAAUUAAUCCCCUUAUGCCAACGCUGGCUGACCGGCAGGAGGUGUCUCAAGUACAGACUGAGAAAGAUCCUGAAAUCCUGCCUGAUCUCUGUAGGAAAGAGUUUCAUAAGCAUCAGGAAGUCAUCACUGCCAUGGGAAAAGGGGGUUGAUGAGGAAACGUAUACUAAGUAUUUGCCAUUCCUGACUGACCCCAAACUCCUCGUGUAUCAGCAUUUCUUUGUCCUCCUCAGGACAAUGGGAAGAGCUAUUUGGUGGCUUCUAUGUGAUAAAGUUUUGAAUUCCUGUAAAGUAAAAUUGCUGAGUAUAUUAUUUCUGGACAUUCUAGCUAAUAAAAAAGGAGUUGGGGCAGAAUUUUUACGUUUUAUAUAAUAGGUCUUAUGUAUUUUACUCACAUGAUCUUUAGAGUACACUCUAAGUUACU
This 1075-nucleotide long non-coding RNA is filed under the name Sus scrofa (pig). RNAcentral describes it as "lncRNA (ENSSSCG00015054648.1)". The record is from RNAcentral. Lineage: Eukaryota; Metazoa; Chordata; Mammalia; Artiodactyla; Suidae.